UGGCGAACGGGUGAGUAACGCGUGAGGAACCUGCCUCAAAGAGGGGACAACAGUUGGAAACGACUGCUAAUACCGCAUAAGCCCACGACCCGGCAUCGGGAAGAGGGAAAAGGAGCAAUCCGCUUUGAGAUGGCCUCGCGUCCGAUUAGCUAGUUGGUGAGGUAACGGCCCACCAAGGCGACGAUCGGUAGCCGGACUGAGAGGUUGAACGGCCACAUUGGGACUGAGACACGGCCCAG
This 239-nucleotide ribosomal RNA is filed under the name uncultured bacterium. Its description in RNAcentral is "partial 16S ribosomal RNA". It matches the Rfam family "Bacterial small subunit ribosomal RNA", at positions 96 to 334 of the family's 1533-position model. The record is from RNAcentral.